Molecule: long non-coding RNA, 1326 nt
Filed under: Pan troglodytes (chimpanzee)
Lineage: Eukaryota; Metazoa; Chordata; Mammalia; Primates; Hominidae
Description: long non-coding RNA NONPTRT010591
Source: RNAcentral
AUACAAUUGAGAUACAUUUAGCAGACAGAAUCAAUAGAGUUGAUGAGUGACUGACUGGAUGUGUGGGGAGUUUAUAUCACUCCCAGGUUUUUGACUUGGGCAACUGGGCACUCAAGAAGGAAAAAGAGGAUCCAGGGAGAGGAACUUUUCUGAGGACUGGGGUAGGGCUGAACAGCUGCAUUCGAGACUGGUGGAGGGUGGGCUGGGCAUGGGAUGCACAAAUGGAGAUUCCACUGGGUCUGCAGCUCACACAUAGGCAUGACCAGCAUAGAGAUAGAGAGGCCCCAGUGCUGCUGAGUAACUGUGAUUCCCCAGGUGAUGGCAUCAGCUGAGAAGGGAAGGAAGCCUAUGUGAGGACACUGAAGAAGGAGUGAGCAGACAAUAAGAAGCCCACAGAAGACAGAGAAGGAACAACUAGAGGGAGAAGCCAAGGCAGGCAUGUGUGGUAACAUAUAGGAACUGAGGGAGAGGACAUUUCAAGAUGGAGAGGAUGCCAUACAACAGGACUAUGUGAUGGUUUUUGGCUGUGUCCAUAGGAAGUCACAACAGGCAAGGGAAAGAAACCAGAACCCAGUCAUGGAGUUAAGAAGUGAGUCAGAGAGGAGAUGGGUAGGGACAGUGAGGUAAGGCCUCUUUUUAAGGAAGUUUGGCUGAAGGAUAGACUAGCUGGACAUAUAUGCUGGCUGUGUGGGGUAGAGGGAGGAAUGAUGGAGGGUAGGAGAGCCUUGAGCCUGCGAGAAGAGUCUCCUAGAAUAGAGAAGCUGAGGUUAAAGUUGUGGAAGACAGUGGGGAUAACUGAGUGACAGAUAAUCAGGAGAAGAAAAGGAGAUCCAGAAUCAUGACAGAGAGAUGACCUUUGCCAAGAGCACAGCCAUCUUUCACUGCACAGAGAGGUAGGACAAAACGAUUGGUGUUCAAGAAUUGGUUUGUAGCACAAUAUUUUAACUAUGUCCUUUAAAAAGUUUCUCCACAGACACUACCCAAAGCAGUCCUUCACUACAGUGGCAGACAGACCUGAAAAUUUUCAUCUGAAGCAGCAGAGUGAACUGCAGAGUCAGGUCACCAACCAGUGUGGAGGCUAAAAGCGGGCCUCUUCGGGGAUUCCAGGUGGAAGUGUUGGACAUCUGUAGUAUUCCUGGUCUCGAAUCAUCCUGAUAUUCUUCAUUUUGUUAUUCACAUUGGACUAGGAGAUAGAAUCUCACUAUGUUGACCAGGCUGGUCUUGAACUCUUGGCACCCAAGCGAUCCUUUUGCCUGGAAUCCCAAAGUGUCAGAUUUACUGAAGAAUAUUUCAUUGUAAUUACUUUUUAUACUUUAUAGGUCAAGA